This 21-nucleotide non-coding RNA is filed under the name Arabidopsis thaliana (thale cress). Lineage: Eukaryota; Viridiplantae; Streptophyta; Magnoliopsida; Brassicales; Brassicaceae. The record is from RNAcentral.
CCAAAGGUGCUGCUUCCUCCG